AAACCAAAACCGAACCACCCCGGUCCGGUCCGGACCCGGUUCGGACCCGAACCGAACCGGGAGAACCGGUUUUAUGCACAUCCCUAGUGGUCAUCCAAAUGUGUGAACGUGUGGUUUCAUCAACAAACCCACCUGAGGUUUUGUACCCCAAACCUGAAUUUGAACCUUGGAUUCCAAUUGAGUUUCAAUGCCAAAACCUGGUGUCCAGAAGUGGCAUUGUGCCAUCUGGAUUCUGCCGCUGUGUAAAACUGGAGUUGAGGAUAGGAAGCUCCUCCCUCUCACCUUGAUUGGCUUCCUCCUUCAUGUGAAGGAGGAAGGCCACACAGCCAGUUCCUCCCUGCUUGCAGUCUGUGGGCUACAUAUCAGGAUCUUCUGGUAGCGCGGGAAGCAUGAUGGGGGUCAACUGCGGGUCCAUUGGACCUGCUGUUUGCCAUUAUGUAUGAAGGUGGCCUAAAACAAACCUCUCUAUUUAUGUUAUGGAGGUUACAAUUUGACAAGGUCGAAAGACACAUUCAGGUUACAUUAAAUACCUUAGUCUUUUGAAGAAAGAAAACAGGAACUGCUUCAUCCACUUUAUUUCUGCCAAAAGGAUGUGAAGCACAGCAGGGAAGCUUUUAAAAAUGCCGACCUGCCUCGUUCCCGAUCUUUGCAAAGCGUUAACUGUACGUCAUUGAUUAAGGCAGGGAGAACUUUUUGCCUUUUCAGAAAUGCGUAGAGUGAUUGAUUGUAAGUAGCACAAGUAGCACAAAUGCAUAUAAUGAUCACUACAAGGGAAAUAGCGUAGGAGAUGUUGCAGUGUUGUGAAUGGUUAAAGUUCAAACAGGGAGUCAUCCUCAGCUUCUUCGAUAGCUUCCUGUUCUCCACGUGUUUUCCAUUCUUCCAUUCUUCCAUUCUUCUUUCCUUUUACACAUCCUUAAACUGGGAUGUGUCACUCCAUCUUAGGUUUUGUUUGUUUGUUUGUUUGUUUAUAUGUUAAUGGUUAUAUGUUAAUGGUUUAUAUGUUAAUUGUUUUAUGCUGUUUUUAAAUUGUUCUGUAAUGGUAGUUUUUAAACAGGUUUUAUGCUGUUUUAAAUUUCAAUGAUUGUUUUUAAAAGGAUUGAUUUGUGGGUUUUAUUUUUAUUGGUGUGCACCGCCCAGAGCCAUUUGGAUGGGGCGGUGUAUAACUGCAAUAGAUAGAUAGAUAGAUAGAUAGAUAGAUAGAUAGAUACUGCCUGAUAUAUACAUCUCUAGCUGGUGUAUAUCUCACUGGUUUUAUAUAUCACCAGUUUUAAGUUUUCCUUUCAAAAAUUUAUACUUUUCCACUUCCCUCUUCUACUCUUCUGCUGACCCCAUCAGUAUCCACCCUUUCUUUCCACCCAGAUCUUCUAAUAGUUUUCCUUGGAAGUAGGUUUUAAUAUGAACCAGGACUUGGUAGAACCCAGUUCCAAAGCUUCUUUCCAUGCCCUUUGGAAAGCUGAUCCAUAUGCAACACAGCAGUCUAGGAGGAGCACACUGACUUGGAUGGUAACAACCAAUUCACACAAUAUUUUUCCUUUCCUACCAGCCUGUGUAAUUAAAAGGGGAACAUGCCAAGAAUACACAUAUCCUGAUGUCUUCCUUGGAUCUCUUAGGAAUGUCCCCCAAAUUCUCCCAGCAUGUUCCUUUAUCAUAUAGGCGGGCAGUCCAAAUGCUAGUUUACUCUAGCAUUAAGACUGCAUGUAAAGCAGUGGUUUGGACAAAAGAUGCCCCCGUCACACAGUAAAGGAAUGGGCCACAAAGACAUGGGAUGUCUAGGAAACGGUCUUCAAUCUAACAGGGAUUCCCAGAUGUUGUUGACUACGACUCCCAGAAUCCCCAGCUGCAAUGGCUUUCACUUGGGAAUUAUGGGAGUUGCAGUCAACAACCUCUAGGAAUCCCUGUUAGAGGGAACACUGCUAGGAAAGACCUCAGGAUGUGUGCUCUCUUGUACAUCUGCCUUGAGUUAGUUUCAGGGUGGGGAGAUGAAAACUCCCUAAACUGACACAGUGUCAUAUGUCCUUCCCACACAAUGUAUCCAGUUUAAAGUCAUUGGAGUGGAGUUGGAUGUGCCUGCAUGGGCGUGGCAAUCUCACUGCUACUGUAGCUUAAGAACCAGCCCACAUAGAUGCUGCAAGUCUGCUUUUUCUUCUGUAGGGGCUGCUGUAAAUGACAGUGAAAGCAUAUCUGUACAGAAGGCCUAGAUUGGUCAAGCCCUCAUACCCAGUGAACCUUGGGAUCUGUAGUUUUGUGAAGGGGAUGGGAGACAAUUCACAAGCUCUUUCACUGCUAUCACAAUGAAACUAGUAAAAAAAUGAGAUAAGUUUGUACUGUAAAUAUGACCUAAAGUAGUGGUGUUCAUACUUUGUUUCAGAGAACCCUGGAUUACUUGGUAACAUUUGGGAGGUCCCUCCAUAGCAAGCUCAGUCCUCUAAAGCCGUUUGUCCACCACUAUCAAUAGUCUUUUCCCACAUGCAGUAUCAGUUUUUCUUGCUACUUCCUGAAUGCUUUCUGUUCUGGAAAAGGAUACCACACAGGCUCCCAGGAUUACCAAAUCUUUGCUACUUGAUGCCGAAACAGAUGUCUUGACUUCAUCACCAGACAAAAUGUAUUCACCUCUCAAGUGUAAUAUGCCAAUGGAGAUACAGUUGCCCAUGACAACAUUUGACUUGUAUAAUAACAAGCCAAGAAGCAAGGAGAUCACAAGACCAUUGGAAGCCAGUGCCAGAAAACCAACCAGCAAGGAAAAAACAAGCCUCCAAAAUGGCACUUGGAAUUUUGAAACGUUUCGAUAGAAACUGGGUUGUUCUACUCCAAGCUGGAAACAGGCCCUUUAUUUAAAAGGUGGUCUGUUUCAAGCACGAAACCCUCCUAACAGCCCAUUUCAAGUUGAAGCAAUCUGCACAUCCCUAGGUUAUUGGAUUAUUUCACCAGUGUGGUUCCCAAAAUGUGUUUGUUUGAAAUACAUGCUGGAGUCCACCAAGAUAUUUUAAAAUGUCAAGAGAGGAGCAGGAGGGAAAUUCAAAGAACUUUACAGCUACACUACUUUAUAAGAUAAAUAAUGGGACCUCAAUGGCUGGAAAAGCCCAACUGUGCUGAUUUUAAAAACGAUACUGAUCUCUACUGGGGCAACGUUCUAAUCAAGAAAAUAUAAAGGACUUCUAGAUAGAAUGCAACAGAUUGCUAGAUACCCAGAGAUAAUUUUAAGAGUUUUAGGGCAGCAAGUUUAAUGCCAUUACACUUGGGUGCUCCAGUUCCUAUUCUUUGCUUCCACUCCGGCAAAACAUCUUGCAUAUGAGUGUGUGUGCAUGCAUACACACAGGAUGUAACAUGAGCAUGUGAGAAGCAGUGUGGUAUAGAGACUAGAGUUUUAGGACUUGGACCAGGGAGACCUACCUCCAGAUCACUACUCACAAUGAAGCUCACUGGGUGACAUUAGGCCAGACACAUCCUGUCAGUUUAGCCUACCUUACAGAGUUGUUGAGGGGAUAAAAUUGGAUGCAUGUCUUUUAUAAGUGCAUCACUUAAUAAUAAUAAUAAUAAUAAUAAUAUAAUAUAAUUCGAUUUCUAGACCGCCCUUCCAAAAAUGGCUCAGAGUUAUGGAGAAAUAAUAAAUAAACAAACAGAUAAAUAGAUAGAUAGAUAGAUAGAUAGAUAGAUAGACAGAUAAGAUGGCUCCCUGUCCCCAAAGGGCUCACAAUCAAAAGAAACAUAAAAUAGACACCAGUAACAGUCACUGGAGGUACUGUGCUGGGGGUGGAUAGGGCCAAUUACUCUCCCCCUGCUAAAUAAAGAGAAUCACCACGCUAAAAGGUGCCUCUUUGCCAAGUUAGCAGGGGGUUAGCAGGGGGUUAAAUUUGUCCUUUUAAUGUCAAUGGGACUACUUUCAGCAGUUUUCCUCAUCUUGUCAACCAAUUCUAUUCUCACAACCAGGAGAAAUCAGGCUAAGGGAGCCUAGCCCGAUUUCUCCUGGUCAUCUGCUGCCAUGGGAGCCAUGCGGCUCCUGGCAGCAAACCACCCAAACUAACCCUCCCCUUAAAAGAGGUGAGUGGAGCUAGCACUCCGCUAACCGUGUUUAGUUGAUUGUGUGCCACCAUGGUACGGGUCCGCAUCACGGCAACACAUGUGGAGACCCCCACCAGGAGGCUAAAACAAGCCUCCCAGUCUCAGGGACCUCCCCGGGAUGCCCCGUGCACUUGCAUGGAGUAUCAUGGGACUUCCAGGGGGCCGGGGAGCCCCUGAUCCCCGCAGCCCCUACCAGCUCAGUGAUGGAGCCAGUAGUCGUGUGGGCAGCUGAUCCGGCCACCCAGGGCUUGGAGGCUGCUUGUGUGUGGGGAGAGCGGUUUAAGCCCACUCUCCCCACAUAAACCCUCCUGGAGCAUCACAUGGGUCAUGUGAAGUGCCUCACAAUCUGUAUUUCUUACAACUUGAAAAAAAAAUGAAACUGUGCAGGAGUGAAAUGGUAGGCUAACACUGCUUUGACUGAAAUUUGGUCAGGCUGCAAGGUUUUGGAUAAAAUUCUCUAGAAAUCUGGCAACUGUAAAGUGUCAGGACUUGAUAGGGACUCAAUUGGAGCACCCCACAAGUGCCUUAACUCCUACACCAACCAUGCUUUGCCUUCCCGGAAAACCUGGCUGACUACACUUUGCAGUGCAAGAAAACUACUUAAGUGCACUCAACAAUGUACUGCAGGGGCUGGAGGCAGUGGCGUAUAGGAGUGUGCAAGUUGGCUUGAAGGGUUUUGGGUCAGCUGGUUUGGCUCAAACCAGCUCAACAUUUACUGCUCAAAGGGAAUCCGGUAAAGAUUCUGCUUUACCAGUAUGGUGGGCGGUGGGGGACCAGGGGCCUUAGCUAAAGUGAGUUGUGUCAUGAGGGGAAUGGUUUUUUACCUUAAAGGUGCUGCUGGAAGAGGCAGCUGUGGCAGCUGCUGCAGCAGCCUCGGGUUGGGUGGGGGUCAUGGAAGGGCUCCCCCCACUACCCCUGCCAGACCAGGCAUGGCUAGUAUGGGCCCAUUUCAGAUCUGGUUUGGGCCUCUGCAUGUGCAUUGAGGUCAAUAAAAUAGCCUCAACUCAUGCGCAGAGGCCAUUUUAUUGACCUCCACACAUGUGCAGAGGCCCGAACCAGGCCUAACCCAGUUCCUGCCUGCUCUGGCAAGGGUGGGGGGAGCCCCUGCUGACACCCCCACCGAUCCCCAAGGCUACUGCCACUGAAGCCGCUGAUGCAGCCAGUGGUAGCAGCACCUUUAAGGUACAAAAUCACUCCCCUCCCAUCACAACUCACAAGCCCCCUCCCCCCUUCCCCUUUGCUGGUAAAAGGGAAUCCUUAACAGAUUCCCUUAACAGAUCCCCCUUUACCAGUAGAGCUUUGAGCCCCGGUUUGAAUGUGCACAAAACUGGACAGGACCCAGUUCAGCUCAAGUCCGGUUUGAUUUGAGCCGAAGCAGAUUUUCUGGUUUUGUGCACAUCCCUAGUGGCAUACCACCACUGAACUGGGAGGGACUAACAUCUCCCAGAUGCUGGUUCCUUGGGGUCCCAUUGCGCCCCGGUGGGCCACUGGGUUUUAAAGAUGGUUUUGUAGUGCAUGUAGAGGGGAGAUUCUGGGAUUGCUUUGGCACAUCUUUUAGUGACAUUGGGACAGGCAUAUUCUCACUGUGGCCCUGAGUUUUCACAUAUAGGUGUCCAUAUUCAUCUGAAUCAGCCCAUUGUCCACUUUUUAAAUGCCAGUUUUGUCUAUUUUGUUUUAAUCACAUUGGGUGCAGCUUGAAUGUUAUCUUCUUUAUCCUGAGAAGCAAACUGGUGAAAUUUGAAGCUUUUUGUUUUAAAAUGUUUGUAUGCUCUUAACUUUAAUCAUAGUUCACAAUGAUUUGCCAAGAUCUAUUUCAUUCCAUAAAAAAUAGAACUAUGUUGUCUGAAUGUCAAAAUAGACAGAUAAUUUAUAAAGAACAAACAAGAUUUGUAACUAUGUGGUUAGCAUACAUUCUGCUUUCUUUCUGACAGUAGAAUAUUGGUCUAAUGUGAUUGGACCCAGACAUUACAAAUUUUCUCUUGUUUACAAAUGUCUGCCAUAAAAUCUUCCCUUUUGUACAUUAUCACUGGUGCAGUGUGUGAGAUCUUUUUACUCCUACUUUAACCCUGUAAUAAAAAAAAAUCUUGCU
Hemicordylus capensis (graceful crag lizard) is the source of this 6148-nucleotide long non-coding RNA. RefSeq lists it as uncharacterized. The record is from RefSeq and is a predicted model, not a curated record. The transcript has 6 exons. NCBI's taxonomy places the organism in Eukaryota, Metazoa, Chordata, Lepidosauria, Squamata, Cordylidae.